GGCUGAUGAACCACCAGUGUCGCUGUUCAGGCGGAGGCAUUAAACCACCAAAUGGUGCUAAGGUAAAGAGCCUUGGUGCUGAGCGAUUUGGAAAAGUUAUACCAUGAGUAUAACAGGU
This 118-nucleotide non-coding RNA is filed under the name Microbacter margulisiae. The record is from RNAcentral. Lineage: Bacteria; Pseudomonadati; Bacteroidota; Bacteroidia; Bacteroidales; Porphyromonadaceae.